This 360-nucleotide ribosomal RNA is filed under the name uncultured bacterium. RNAcentral describes it as "partial 16S ribosomal RNA". It matches the Rfam family "Bacterial small subunit ribosomal RNA", at positions 338 to 696 of the family's 1533-position model. The record is from RNAcentral.
CCUACGGGAGGCAACAGUGAGGAAUAUUGGACAAUGGCCUGAAGGCUGAUCCAGCAAAGCCGCGUGAAGGACGAAGGUGCCAAGCAUUGUAAACUUCUUUUGUCAAGGGACAAAAUCAGGGUCGAUAGCCUGACCGAGGGUACUUGAAAAAAAAGCGUCGGCUAACUCCGUGCCAGCAGCCGCGGUAAUACGGAGGAUGCGAGCGGUAUCCGGAUUGAUUGGGUUUAAAGGGGGCGUAGGCGGACUGUUAAGUCAGCGGUAAAAGCCCGGGGCUAAACCCCGGCGCGCCGUUGAAACUGGCUGUCUUGAGAGGUCGAGAGGCAUGCGGAAUGCGGAGUGUAGCGGUGAAAUGCUUAGAUA